Molecule: ribosomal RNA, 56 nt
Filed under: Avibacterium paragallinarum
Lineage: Bacteria; Pseudomonadati; Pseudomonadota; Gammaproteobacteria; Pasteurellales; Pasteurellaceae
Description: partial 23S ribosomal RNA
Source: RNAcentral
GUUGUAUAGUUAAGUGAGAAAGCGUACAGGGCGGAUGCCUUGGCAAUCAGAGGCGA